Molecule: unclassified non-coding RNA, 233 nt
Filed under: plant metagenome
Description: partial contains small subunit ribosomal RNA, internal transcribed spacer 1, and 5.8S ribosomal RNA
Source: RNAcentral
UUUCCGUAGGUGAACCUGCGGAAGGAUCAUUAGUGAAUUUUAGGGCGUCUACUUGUAUAGCCUGACCUCUACUUUCUAAGUCUGUGCACCUUUUUGUCGGAAUUAGGGACUAGUGAUUGUCUAACGAUGAUUGCGUCCUCCUUACUUCUGGAACUUACUUUAAUCGCUAGUCAUAGUAUGUAACGACUUAUAGAAUUAAAAAAAAACUUUCAACAACGGAUCUCUUGGCUCUC